CCCUUAGACGUUCUGGGCCGCACGCGCGCUACACUGACGAAGGCAACGAGCUUUCCUUUACCGAAAGGUACGGGUAAUCUUUUGAAACUUCGUCGUGCUGGGGAUAGAUCCUUGCAAUUUUUGAUCUUAAACGAGGAAUUCCUAGUAAGCGCAAGUCAUCAACUUGCGUUGAUUACGUCCCUGCCCUUUGUACACACCGCCCGUCGCUACUACCGAUUGGAUCGUUUAGCGAGAGCCUUGGAUCGCUGCCCGGGUAGUCAGCAAUGGCCGCCCGGGAAUAGUGAAAAAUUGUUCCAGCUUGCCGAUCUAGAGGAAGUAAAAGUCGUAACA
This 330-nucleotide ribosomal RNA is filed under the name uncultured eukaryote. RNAcentral describes it as "partial 18S ribosomal RNA". It matches the Rfam family "Eukaryotic small subunit ribosomal RNA", at positions 1470 to 1796 of the family's 1831-position model. The record is from RNAcentral.